GCAUUAAUAGGGUAGAGGUAACCCAGGUCUUCAAAGUUCCAAAAUUCCAUGAAAACUUUACGGGCCAGGCGGGGGUUCGAAUCCCUCUUAAUGCA
Molecule: non-coding RNA, 95 nt
Organism: Mycena galopus ATCC 62051
Lineage: Eukaryota; Fungi; Basidiomycota; Agaricomycetes; Agaricales; Mycenaceae
Source: the annotation of a GenBank genome assembly